Long non-coding RNA from Varanus komodoensis (Komodo dragon), 483 nucleotides. RefSeq lists it as uncharacterized. The transcript is spliced from 2 exons. Lineage: Eukaryota; Metazoa; Chordata; Lepidosauria; Squamata; Varanidae. The record is from RefSeq and is a predicted model, not a curated record.
GCGGCAGCCGCCGGCGAGCGGACGCGCAGCCUGCCGUGUCGGUGGCGAAGAGCGCGCCGAGGAGCGGCGUUUCCGGACGAGCGGGUGUUUUCUCAGCGUUGGUGCAGCCUUCGCUCACCCAGUCUCUUCCAGGUCUGAGAACUAUAGAUCCCAUCAUCCCCAGUCGACCUGCCUUUGGACGGAUUCUUGAAGAAAGGUACGUCUUGAAAAGUUCAACGCUACCGAAUCUUAAAGGACAGUGUACCCAUUGCUGUGAUCAUGAGAGCUAGAGAGAGUAACCCACAAUAGCCAGCAGCAGAUGCGUUGUGCUCAAGACAAUACAGAAGACUGCAUCAUGCAAAGUACUCUUUGAUUUAGCAAUGUAGGAAAAAGUGCACUUUCUACAUUUCUUCAAUACGAAAGAUGUAAAUGUAACUUUCAGAUUAUAGCCUGUAGAGCUCUUUGUCACAAAAAAUAAAUAUAAUAAAAAUGGCUUUCAUGUUA